ACUCCUACGGGAGGCAGCAGUAGGGAAUAUUGGUCAAUGGAGGAAACUCUGAUGCAGCAGCGCCGCGUGGAGGAUGACGCAUUUCGGUGUGUAAACUCCUUUUAUAUGGGAAGAUAAUGACGGUACCAUAUGAAUAAGCACCGGCUAACUCCGUGCCAGCAGCCGCGGUAAUA
This 173-nucleotide ribosomal RNA is filed under the name uncultured bacterium. RNAcentral describes it as "partial 16S ribosomal RNA". It matches the Rfam family "Bacterial small subunit ribosomal RNA", at positions 335 to 525 of the family's 1533-position model. The record is from RNAcentral.